UACUCCUACGGGAGGCAGCAGUGGGGAAUCUUCCGCAAUGGACGAAAGUCUGACGGAGCAACGCCGCGUGUUGAUGAAGGUCUUCGGAUGUAAAGUACUGUCUUUGGGGAAGAACGGUCGAUUUGAGAAUAUUGAGUCGACGACGGUACCCAAGGAGGAAGCCCCG
This 166-nucleotide ribosomal RNA is filed under the name uncultured bacterium. RNAcentral's name for it is "partial 16S ribosomal RNA". It matches the Rfam family "Bacterial small subunit ribosomal RNA", at positions 334 to 495 of the family's 1533-position model. The record is from RNAcentral.